GGGGAAUUUUCCGCAAUGGGCGAAAGCCUGACGGAGCAAUACCGCGUGAGGGAGGAAGGCUCUUGGGUUGUAAACCUCUUUUCUCAGGGAGUAAAAAAGAAGGUACCUGAGGAAUAAGCAUCGGCUAACUCCGUGCCAGCAGCCGCGGUAAUACGGAGGAUGCAAGCGUUAUCCGGAAUGAUUGGGCGUAAAGCGUCCGCAGGUGGAAUUUCAAGUCUGCUGUCAAAGAAUUUGGCUCAACCAAAUAAAGGCAGUGGAAACUGAAAAACUAGAGUACGUUCGGGGUAGAGGGAAUUCCUGGUGUAGCGGUGAAAUGCGUAGAGAUCAGGAAGAACACCGGUGGCGAAAGCGCUCUACUAGGCCGUAACUGACACUGAGGGACGAAAGCUAGGGGAGCGAAUGGGAUUAGAUACCCCAGUAGUC
RNAcentral lists this ribosomal RNA (423 nucleotides) under uncultured cyanobacterium. Its description in RNAcentral is "bacterial SSU rRNA". It matches the Rfam family "Bacterial small subunit ribosomal RNA", at positions 356 to 795 of the family's 1533-position model. The record is from RNAcentral. Lineage: Bacteria; Bacillati; Cyanobacteriota.